GGGUUGUGAGGUUAAGCGACUAAGCGUACACGGUGGAUGCCCUGGCAGUCAGAGGCGAUGAAGGACGUGCUAAUCUGCGAUAAGCGUCGGUAAGGUGAUAUGAACCGUUAUAACCGGCGAUUUCCGAAUGGGGAAACCCAGUGUGUUUCGACACACUAUCAUUAACUGAAUCCAUAGGUUAAUGAGGCGAACCGGGGGAACUGAAACAUCUAAGUACCCCGAGGAAAAGAAAUCAACCGAGAUUCCCCCAGUAGCGGCGAGCGAACGGGGAGCAGCCCAGAGCCUGAAUCAGUGUGUGUGUUAGUGGAAGCGUCUGGAAAGGCGCGCGAUACAGGGUGACAGCCCCGUACACAAAAAUGCACAUGCUGUGAGCUCGAUGAGUAGGGCGGGACACGUGGUAUCCUGUCUGAAUAUGGGGGGACCAUCCUCCAAGGCUAAAUACUCCUGACUGACCGAUAGUGAACCAGUACCGUGAGGGAAAGGCGAAAAGAACCCCGGCGAGGGGAGUGAAAAAGAACCUGAAACCGUGUACGUACAAGCAGUGGGAGCACGCUUAGGCGUGUGACUGCGUACCUUUUGUAUAAUGGGUCAGCGACUUAUAUUCUGUAGCAAGGUUAACCGAAUAGGGGAGCCGAAGGGAAACCGAGUCUUAACUGGGCGUUAAGUUGCAGGGUAUAGACCCGAAACCCGGUGAUCUAGCCAUGGGCAGGUUGAAGGUUGGGUAACACUAACUGGAGGACCGAACCGACUAAUGUUGAAAAAUUAGCGGAUGACUUGUGGCUGGGGGUGAAAGGCCAAUCAAACCGGGAGAUAGCUGGUUCUCCCCGAAAGCUAUUUAGGUAGCGCCUCGUGAAUUCAUCUCCGGGGGUAGAGCACUGUUUCGGCAAGGGGGUCAUCCCGACUUACCAACCCGAUGCAAACUGCGAAUACCGGAGAAUGUUAUCACGGGAGACACACGGCGGGUGCUAACGUCCGUCGUGAAGAGGGAAACAACCCAGACCGCCAGCUAAGGUCCCAAAGUCAUGGUUAAGUGGGAAACGAUGUGGGAAGGCCCAGACAGCCAGGAUGUUGGCUUAGAAGCAGCCAUCAUUUAAAGAAAGCGUAAUAGCUCACUGGUCGAGUCGGCCUGCGCGGAAGAUGUAACGGGGCUAAACCAUGCACCGAAGCUGCGGCAGCGACGCUUAUGCGUUGUUGGGUAGGGGAGCGUUCUGUAAGCCUGUGAAGGUGUGCUGUGAGGCAUGCUGGAGGUAUCAGAAGUGCGAAUGCUGACAUAAGUAACGAUAAAGCGGGUGAAAAGCCCGCUCGCCGGAAGACCAAGGGUUCCUGUCCAACGUUAAUCGGGGCAGGGUGAGUCGACCCCUAAGGCGAGGCCGAAAGGCGUAGUCGAUGGGAAACAGGUUAAUAUUCCUGUACUUGGUGUUACUGCGAAGGGGGGACGGAGAAGGCUAUGUUGGCCGGGCGACGGUUGUCCCGGUUUAAGCGUGUAGGCUGGUUUUCCAGGCAAAUCCGGAAAAUCAAGGCUGAGGCGUGAUGACGAGGCACUACGGUGCUGAAGCAACAAAUGCCCUGCUUCCAGGAAAAGCCUCUAAGCAUCAGGUAACAUCAAAUCGUACCCCAAACCGACACAGGUGGUCAGGUAGAGAAUACCAAGGCGCUUGAGAGAACUCGGGUGAAGGAACUAGGCAAAAUGGUGCCGUAACUUCGGGAGAAGGCACGCUGAUAUGUAGGUGAAGCGACUUGCUCGUGGAGCUGAAAUCAGUCGAAGAUACCAGCUGGCUGCAACUGUUUAUUAAAAACACAGCACUGUGCAAACACGAAAGUGGACGUAUACGGUGUGACGCCUGCCCGGUGCCGGAAGGUUAAUUGAUGGGGUUAGCCGCAAGGCGAAGCUCUUGAUCGAAGCCCCGGUAAACGGCGGCCGUAACUAUAACGGUCCUAAGGUAGCGAAAUUCCUUGUCGGGUAAGUUCCGACCUGCACGAAUGGCGUAAUGAUGGCCAGGCUGUCUCCACCCGAGACUCAGUGAAAUUGAACUCGCUGUGAAGAUGCAGUGUACCCGCGGCAAGACGGAAAGACCCCGUGAACCUUUACUAUAGCUUGACACUGAACAUUGAGCCUUGAUGUGUAGGAUAGGUGGGAGGCUUUGAAGUGUGGACGCCAGUCUGCAUGGAGCCGACCUUGAAAUACCACCCUUUAAUGUUUGAUGUUCUAACGUUGACCCGUAAUCCGGGUUGCGGACAGUGUCUGGUGGGUAGUUUGACUGGGGCGGUCUCCUCCUAAAGAGUAACGGAGGAGCACGAAGGUUGGCUAAUCCUGGUCGGACAUCAGGAGGUUAGUGCAAUGGCAUAAGCCAGCUUGACUGCGAGCGUGACGGCGCGAGCAGGUGCGAAAGCAGGUCAUAGUGAUCCGGUGGUUCUGAAUGGAAGGGCCAUCGCUCAACGGAUAAAAGGUACUCCGGGGAUAACAGGCUGAUACCGCCCAAGAGUUCAUAUCGACGGCGGUGUUUGGCACCUCGAUGUCGGCUCAUCACAUCCUGGGGCUGAAGUAGGUCCCAAGGGUAUGGCUGUUCGCCAUUUAAAGUGGUACGCGAGCUGGGUUUAGAACGUCGUGAGACAGUUCGGUCCCUAUCUGCCGUGGGCGCUGGAGAACUGAGGGGGGCUGCUCCUAGUACGAGAGGACCGGAGUGGACGCAUCACUGGUGUUCGGGUUGUCAUGCCAAUGGCACUGCCCGGUAGCUAAAUGCGGAAGAGAUAAGUGCUGAAAGCAUCUAAGCACGAAACUUGCCCCGAGAUGAGUUCUCCCUGACCCUUUAAGGGUCCUGAAGGAACGUUGAAGACGACGACGUUGAUAGGCCGGGUGUGUAAGCGCAGCGAUGCGUUGAGCUAACCGGUACUAAUGAACCGUGAGGCUUAACCUUACAACGCCGAAGGUGUUU
RNAcentral lists this ribosomal RNA (2933 nucleotides) under Escherichia coli. Its description in RNAcentral is "23S ribosomal RNA". It matches the Rfam family "Bacterial large subunit ribosomal RNA". Lineage: Bacteria; Pseudomonadati; Pseudomonadota; Gammaproteobacteria; Enterobacterales; Enterobacteriaceae. The record is from RNAcentral.